Molecule: ribosomal RNA, 440 nt
Filed under: uncultured bacterium
Lineage: Bacteria
Description: partial 16S ribosomal RNA
Rfam family: Bacterial small subunit ribosomal RNA
Source: RNAcentral
CCUACGGGAGGCAGCAGUGGGGAAUAUUGCACAAUGGGGGAAACCCUGAUGCAGCGACGCCGCGUGAGUGAAGCAGUAAUUCGUUAUGUAAAGCUCUAUCAGCAGGGAUGAAAAUGACGGUACCUGAGUAAGAAGCCCCAGCUAACUACGUGCCAGCAGCCGCGGGAAUACGUAGGGGGCAAGCGUUACCCGGAUUUACUGGGUGUAAAGGGAGCGUAGAAGGCAGUGCAAGGCUGGAGUGAAUGGCGGGGGGUCAACCCCCGGACUGCUCUGGAAACUGUACGGCUGGAGUGCAGGAGAGGUAAGUGGAAUUCCUAGUGUAGCGGUGAAAUGCGUAGAUAUUAGGAGGAACACCAGUGGCGAAGGCGGCUUACUGGACUGUAACUGACGUUGAGGCUCGAAAGCGUGGGGAGCAAACAGGAUUAGAUACCCGGGUAGUC